AUGCCGGUGUGAGUAGCGAAAGACGGGUGAGAAUCCCGUCCACCGAUUGACUAAGGUUUCCAGAGGAAGGCUCGUCCGCUCUGGGUUAGUCGGGUCCUAAGCUGAGGCCGACAGGCGUAGGCGAUGGAUAACAGGUUGAUAUUCCUGUACCACCUAUAAUCGUUUUAAUCGAUGGGGGGACGCAGUAGGAUAGGCGAAGCGUGCGAUUGGAUUGCACGUCUAAGCAGUAAGGCUGAGUAUUAGGCAAAUCCGGUACUCGUUAAGGCUGAGCUGUGAUGGGGAGAAGACAUUGUGUCUUCGAGUCGUUGAUUUCACACUGCCGAGAAAAGCCUCUAGAUAGAAAAUAGGUGCCCGUACCGCAAACCGACACAGGUAGUCAAGAUGAGAAUUCUAAGGUGAGCGAGCGAACUCUCGUUAAGGAACUCGGCAAAAUGACCCCGUAACUUCGGGAGAAGGGGUGCUCUUUAGGGUUAACGCCCAGAAGAGCCGCAGUGAAUAGGCCCAAGCGACUGUUUAUCAAAAACACAGGUCUCUGCUAAACCGUAAGGUGAUGUAUAGGGGCUGACGCCUGCCCGGUGCUGGAAGGUUAAGAGGAGUGGUUAGCUUCUGCGAAGCUACGAAUCGAAGCCCCAGUAAACGGCGGCCGUAACUAUAACGGUCCUAAGGUAGCGAAAUUCCUUGUCGGGUAAGUUCCGACCCGCACGAAAGGCGUAACGAUUUGGGCACUGUCUCAACGAGAGACUCGGUGAAAUCAUAGUACCUGUGAAGAUGCAGGUUACCCGCGACAGGACGGAAAGACCCCGUGGAGCUUUACUGUAGCCUGAUAUUGAAAUUCGGCACAGCUUGUACAGGAUAGGUAGGAGCCUUUGAAACGUGAGCGCUAGCUUACGUGGAGGCGCUGGUGGGAUACUACCCUAGCUGUGUUGGCUUUCUAACCCGCACCACUUAUCGUGGUGGGAGACAGUGUCAGGCGGGCAGUUUGACUGGGGCGGUCGCCUCCUAAAAGGUAACGGAGGCGCUCAAAGGUUCCCUCAGAAUGGUUGGAAAUCAUUCAUAGAGUGUAAAGGCAUAAGGGAGCUUGACUGCGAGACCUACAAGUCGAGCAGGGUCGAAAGACGGACUUAGUGAUCCGGUGGUUCCGCAUGGAAGGGCCAUCGCUCAACGGAUAAAAGCUACCCCGGGGAUAACAGGCUUAUCUCCCCCAAGAGUUCACAUCGACGGGGAGGUUUGGCACCUCGAUGUCGGCUCAUCGCAUCCUGGGGCUGUAGUCGGUCCCAAGGGUUGGGCUGUUCGCCCAUUAAAGCGGUACGCGAGCUGGGUUCAGAACGUCGUGAGACAGUUCGGUCCCUAUCCGUCGUGGGCGUAGGAAAUUUGAGAGGAGCUGUCCUUAGUACGAGAGGACCGGGAUGGACAUACCUCUGGUGUACCAGUUGUCGUGCCAACGGCAUAGCUGGGUAGCUAUGUGUGGACGGGAUAAGUGCUGAAAGCAUCUAAGCAUGAAGCCCCCCUCAAGAUGAGAUUUCCCAACUUCGGUUAUAAGAUCCCUCAAAGAUGAUGAGGUUAAUAGGUUCGAGGUGGAAGCAUGGUGACAUGUGGAGCUGACGAAUACUAAUCGAUCGAAGACUUAAUCAAAUU
RNAcentral lists this ribosomal RNA (1635 nucleotides) under Staphylococcus aureus. RNAcentral's name for it is "bacterial LSU rRNA". It matches the Rfam family "Bacterial large subunit ribosomal RNA", at positions 1294 to 2925 of the family's 2925-position model. Lineage: Bacteria; Bacillati; Bacillota; Bacilli; Caryophanales; Staphylococcaceae. The record is from RNAcentral.